This 509-nucleotide long non-coding RNA is filed under the name Vitis vinifera (wine grape). RNAcentral describes it as "long non-coding RNA (VVIN_LNC003239)". The record is from RNAcentral. Lineage: Eukaryota; Viridiplantae; Streptophyta; Magnoliopsida; Vitales; Vitaceae.
UGAGUUUAUUGCAUUUCAUAUGCAUCAUGGUUGUGUGAAGGAAAAAAAAUUAUUGAAAGGUUGCAUGAAAUGGAAAAAUGAAAAAGAAAUGAUGAUGAAAAGUAAAGGCCCGUGAAAGGCAAAUUAAGAAAAGAGUGAGAUCCUUGGUGUGAAAGACACAAAAAUUUACCAUGGGGUGAGUAUUUGGGUAUGAACGCGUAUCCUUCGGUGAAAGCCCAAGAAUAACAGUGCAUUGUAUGAUUAUGUGUUACAUUCUUACAUGUAUUUUAUUUAAUUGUUAAGAAAUAUUUAAGUUGUGUAAUUAGAUUAAAUAAAAUGUUUGGGAUGCUUAUUUUAUGGUUUGAAUGCCCAUUUUGUUUAUCUUUGAACCAUAGUAAUACUAAUUAAUCCCUUUGGGUGUAAGACACCCUACUGAACAAUGUGGAAAUGCCACAUUUUUCUUUUUAAAACUUUUUUAUGUAAAUAUUGCUAUUGAGGAUCAACAAGUAGAGUAGGAAGGGCUCUAGAAC